RNAcentral lists this transfer RNA (59 nucleotides) under Scolopendra dehaani. RNAcentral describes it as "tRNA-Cys". The record is from RNAcentral. Lineage: Eukaryota; Metazoa; Arthropoda; Chilopoda; Scolopendromorpha; Scolopendridae.
AGUUUGAAUUUUAUUUUUAAGAAUAUUAAAUUGCAAGUUUAAAGGUGUAAUUUAGGCUU